This 216-nucleotide ribosomal RNA is filed under the name Glomeromycotina sp. RNAcentral's name for it is "partial small subunit ribosomal RNA". The stretch from base 40 to 216 matches the Rfam family "Eukaryotic small subunit ribosomal RNA", at positions 686 to 864 of the family's 1831-position model. The record is from RNAcentral. Lineage: Eukaryota; Fungi; Glomeromycota.
GGGUCAGUAGGUUGGUCGUGCCACCGGUACGUACUGGUCUCACUGAUUCCUCCUUCCUGAAGAACCGUAAUGCCAUUAAUUUGGUGUUGCGGGGAAACAGGACUGUUACUUUGAAAAAAUUAGAGUGUUUAAAGCAAGCUAACGCUUGAAUACAUUAGCAUAGAAUAAUGAAAUAGGACGAUCGAUCCUAUUUUGUUGGUUUCUAGGAUUGACGUA